GAACAGUAAGAGGACCUUUUGCUUGAAUAAUUUUUAUCCACACUACAGAAAGAAUCCCAGGCUUCUUAGAGAACCCAGUGACUUUUUGCACCUUCAAUCGGUGAAAUCAUCGUGUUUUCUUCUGCCGUAUCCAUAGUUCAAACAAAGAUGAGGCAAAGCUAGACUCAUUCCUGAAGGAACCCAAGAAAUUCCUCCUUUCUCUCUCUGGAAUGAAAUGAAUUCUCUAGAUCAUCAGUUCUAACCUUCAAAAACCAAACCUGUUUGUGAGAUCUCCUUUAAAUACUACUGUAGACCCCAGUGUUUAUUCAUCAAAUUUUUGAAUAUUUGUUUUAUUUGGAA
This is a long non-coding RNA of Mandrillus leucophaeus (drill), 339 nucleotides long. RefSeq lists it as uncharacterized. The record is from RefSeq and is a predicted model, not a curated record. NCBI's taxonomy places the organism in Eukaryota, Metazoa, Chordata, Mammalia, Primates, Cercopithecidae. The transcript is spliced from 2 exons.